Zalophus californianus (California sea lion) is the source of this 491-nucleotide long non-coding RNA. RefSeq lists it as uncharacterized. The transcript is spliced from 3 exons. The record is from RefSeq and is a predicted model, not a curated record. Lineage: Eukaryota; Metazoa; Chordata; Mammalia; Carnivora; Otariidae.
ACAGCUCUGAUUGCGUCAAGCAAGAUGAACGGUUUAUGGACCAUCACUCGAAGAAAAACUAGUAGCGUACCCUUGUUCACUAAAAUCAACAAGCAUGUAGGAGCCCAGGCCUGCACCGGCAAGUGACACAAAAGCUGGCUCACAGAGGAGAAGUAAACAGCUUUGGCCAGGAGUCUGACCCGGUGACCACCCUUGUGUCAGCCCACGCCCUGGUAACUUGGAUGGCUAGAUGCUGUUUGUGUGGCUGUACCAUUCUAAGAAGAGAAUCAAGUCUCGGUGUUCUUUUGAGAUCGCAUGACUUCACACAGGAGAGCUCUUGGAACAGUGCUGAUCACAAAAUAAGCAAGGACUCACACAUUUGUUAUCAUCGAUUUGUUUGUGAUUUAGUCGCUCUCUCUUAUGUACGUUGCUCUUUCUGUUUUUUUCGUUUUUAUUUCCAACAAGGCUGCAAUGGAUAACCUCGAGCUUGUAUUUCUACCCAGGAAUGGAGU